Molecule: ribosomal RNA, 1011 nt
Filed under: Faucicola osloensis
Lineage: Bacteria; Pseudomonadati; Pseudomonadota; Gammaproteobacteria; Moraxellales; Moraxellaceae
Description: bacterial SSU rRNA
Rfam family: Bacterial small subunit ribosomal RNA
Source: RNAcentral
CUUACCAUGCAAAGUCGAACGAUGAUUAUCUAGCUUGCUAGAUAUGAUUAGUGGCGGACGCGCUUAGUAACAUUUAGGAAUCUGCCUAGUAGUGGGGGAUAGCUCGGGGAAACUCGAAUUAAUACCGCAUACGACCUACGGGUGAAAGGGGGCGCAAGCUCUUGCUAUUAGAUGAGCCUAAAUCAGAUUAGCUAGUUGGUGGGGUAAAGGCCCACCAAGGCGACGAUCUGUAACUGGUCUGAGAGGAUGAUCAGUCACACCGGAACUGAGACACGGUCCGGACUCCUACGGGAGGCAGCAGUGGGGAAUAUUGGACAAUGGGGGCAACCCUGAUCCAGCCAUGCCGCGUGUGUGAAGAAGGCCUUUUGGUUGUAAAGCACUUUAAGCAGGGAGGAGAGGCUAAUGGUUAAUACCCAUUAGAUUAGACGUUACCUGCAGAAUAAGCACCGGCUAACUCUGUGCCAGCAGCCGCGGUAAUACAGAGGGUGCGAGCGUUAAUCGGAAUUACUGGGCGUAAAGCGAGUGUAGGUGGCUCAUUAAGUCACAUGUGAAAUCCCCGGGCUUAACCUGGGAACUGCAUGUGAUACUGGUGGUGCUAGAAUAUGUGAGAGGGAAGUAGAAUUCCAGGUGUAGCGGUGAAAUGCGUAGAGAUCUGGAGGAAUACCGAUGGCGAAGGCAGCUUCCUGGCAUAAUAUUGACACUGAGAUUCGAAAGCGUGGGUAGCAAACAGGAUUAGAUACCCUGGUAGUCCACGCCGUAAACGAUGUCUACUAGCCGUUGGGGUCCUUGAGACUUUAGUGGCGCAGUUAACGCGAUAAGUAGACCGCCUGGGGAGUACGGCCGCAAGGUUAAAACUCAAAUGAAUUGACGGGGGCCCGCACAAGCGGUGGAGCAUGUGGUUUAAUUCGAUGCAACGCGAAGAACCUUACCUGGUCUUGACAUAGUGAGAAUCCUGCAGAGAUGCGGGAGUGCCUUCGGGAAUUCACAUACAGGUGCUGCAUGGCUGUCGUC